This 549-nucleotide ribosomal RNA is filed under the name Penicillium spinulosum. RNAcentral describes it as "eukaryotic LSU rRNA". The stretch from base 229 to 382 matches the Rfam family "5.8S ribosomal RNA". The record is from RNAcentral. Lineage: Eukaryota; Fungi; Ascomycota; Eurotiomycetes; Eurotiales; Aspergillaceae.
GAAGUAAAAAAGUCGUAACAAGGUUUCCGUAGGUGAACCUGCGGAAGGAUCAUUACUGAGUGAGGGCCCUCUGGGUCCAACCUCCCACCCGUGUUUAUUGUACCUUGUUGCUUCGGUGCGCCCGCCUCACGGCCGCCGGGGGGCUUCUGCCCCCGGGUCCGCGCGCACCGGAGACACCAUUGAACUCUGUCUGAAGAUUGCAGUCUGAGCAUAAACUAAAUAAGUUAAAACUUUCAACAACGGAUCUCUUGGUUCCGGCAUCGAUGAAGAACGCAGCGAAAUGCGAUAACUAAUGUGAAUUGCAGAAUUCAGUGAAUCAUCGAGUCUUUGAACGCACAUUGCGCCCCCUGGUAUUCCGGGGGGCAUGCCUGUCCGAGCGUCAUUGCUGCCCUCAAGCACGGCUUGUGUGUUGGGCUCCGUCCCCCCGGGGACGGGUCCGAAAGGCAGCGGCGGCACCGAGUCCGGUCCUCGAGCGUAUGGGGCUUUGUCACCCGCUCGGUAGGCCCGGCCGGCGCCAGCCGACAACCCAUCAUCCUUUUCAGGUUGACC